RNAcentral lists this long non-coding RNA (1461 nucleotides) under Equus asinus (donkey). RNAcentral's name for it is "lncRNA (ENSEASG00005026089.1)". The record is from RNAcentral. Lineage: Eukaryota; Metazoa; Chordata; Mammalia; Perissodactyla; Equidae.
UUCUAGUUCUUAAUAUUUGUCUUUCUGAAUAAUAGUUUAAAGCAAUAUUUGUUAAAGUUUUCUUGCACUAUCACAAUUGCUUUUUAGUUAUUUCUCAAGAAGCAUGUUUGUAGUAGAGACAAAAAAUCUGUGUAACAGGAAGGAGGAUAGCGCCAAGUCUCUGGGCUUUUAUUUUUUGUUUUUGUUUUUGUUUGUUUUUCUUUUUCAAAUGUGCUUCUAAUAGCCAUUGCCUUCCAUGUUGUUUACCUAAUCAGCACAUUUUGUCUGAAUACUUGAACAUUUUAACAGUAACACAGGUAUAGAAACGGAAAGGAAACUUAUAAAGAGUAAUCUUUUGGUUCAGUUUUAACAUCAUGACAAUGAGCGCUUUUUCUAGCAAUGAUUUUUAAAUUUUGUAAAUUUGACAGUAUUUUGUUGUUGGUUUUUUAUUUGGUUAGUCGCCUGCUUUUAAUUUGCAGAAGUUAGUAACUGCAGCUCACCUACUGCACCAAAGUUCUCGAUUUUAGGAGCCCAGCUUUAGUCAUUUGAACAUGCUUCUAAAUAAAACAAAACGAAAAACCAAAACUAUACUUUUAAUCUACAAUAAUAGCUCAAUAACUUUGUCAAGGAAAGCUCUAAUAUAUGCAGUGAUGGUUUAUGGAAGGGUGUGGCAAUUUUAAAUUUAUAUUGUGUGUGAUGUUCAAAUAAAGUGAUAUCUACAUUCAUGUGAUUUAUUGGUCAGCAUGACCAUUAAUUAUUGUGUAGAAAUUGGUUAAACUUUGAUUUCCUUUUUUUAAAUCGUGUUGCAUUUGAUUCCUGAUCAAAUUCCCUCAAAGUGAACUCUUGAUCUUAGAUUUUGAAUUUUGUGUGAUCAUGGUUCAUCAUUAUCAGCUGUGUGAAAUUUUAAAGGAAUCAAAUAAUUCAUGAUGAUUUAAAUUUUCUGCAGAUACAUUUUUUUAUACAGUGUUUCUUUCUUACCGACAGUUCUCAUUCUCUCUCUCUGUCUCUCUCUCUGUCUCUCUGUCACUGACCUCAGCACCAAAUUUAACUUGAAUUCACUUAGGAUCACAGGAAUCAGGGGAAAGUGAUUAAAGGUGGUUUCUCCAGCACAUUUUAAGAAAAGGGACCAAAAGUUAUUUUAGCUUCCACAAUAGAUUGCAUGUCAAGUUGCUUAUUAGGAUAAUAAAUUAAUAUUAAAUGCAAUAUAUGUCUUGUCUUUACUAUGGCAUCUGUUUAGGAGUUGUUCAAAUCACUGCAGUAGGGCUCUGCAAAUAAAAUCAUGUAACCUAUUAUCAUGGAUCUAAUGUACUGUAACUUUAUCAAUGAAAGGUAAAAAAUCUCGAAUAACAAGUACAAACAUUGAACAAUGACCUAUAAAGAUUUGUAAAAGUAAAAUUUUUCCAAUAGAUUUCAUUCUUGUCAUUUUGUAAGACGAUCCUGCAGUCCACCUGUUUGUAACUUUUUUAAUAAAAUAGACAUCUG